UCCGGCUUAUCACCGGCAGUUUCCUCAGAGUUCUCAGCAUUACCUGUUAGCAACAGAGGAUGAGGGUUGCGCUCGUUGCGGGACUUAACCCAACAUCUCACGACACGAGCUGACGACAGCCAUGCAGCACCUGUGCACCUUCCACCCGAGGUGACUCCUCCUUUUGGGGAGGAUAUAAAGGGCAUGUCAAGUCUUGGUAAGGUUCUUCGCGUUGCCUCGAAUUAAACCACAUGUUCCACCGCUUGUGCGGGUCCCCGUCAAUUUCUUUGAGUUUUAAUCUUGCGACCGUACUCCCCAGGCGGGAUGUUUAACGCGUUAGCUACGCCACGGAGAGGUAACCUCCCCACAGCUAACAUCCAUCGUUUACAGCGUGGACUAC
RNAcentral lists this unclassified non-coding RNA (379 nucleotides) under uncultured Rickettsiales bacterium. RNAcentral's name for it is "contains 16S-23S intergenic spacer region". The record is from RNAcentral. Lineage: Bacteria; Pseudomonadati; Pseudomonadota; Alphaproteobacteria; Rickettsiales.